UAAAUCCUGAGACAUACGAUAAGGCUUUCUUAAAUUCAACCGACAAAUGUUAAACGGGAGACUGAGUCUAGGUACUGAUAAUAUGCCCUAAAAUUUUAGGGAAAUUAGAUGCACCUAGCAGGUCACCCACCUGGGAGUAUCUCGGGUCUGAAUUUAUGGGGCCACCGGUGUUUUGGGGUAUUA
This 183-nucleotide non-coding RNA is filed under the name Peptostreptococcaceae bacterium. RNAcentral describes it as "6S RNA". It matches the Rfam family "6S / SsrS RNA". Rfam says of the family: E. coli 6S RNA was the first non coding RNA to be sequenced, but its function was unknown until recently. It consists of 184 nucleotides that fold into an extended hairpin structure with a large single-stranded internal bulge. The 6S RNA specifically associates with RNA polymerase holoenzyme containing the sigma70 specificity factor. Lineage: Bacteria; Bacillati; Bacillota; Clostridia; Peptostreptococcales; Peptostreptococcaceae. The record is from RNAcentral. RNAcentral also lists the same sequence under 1 other name.